UACGGGGGGGGCAAGCGUUGUUCGGAAUUACUGGGCGUAAAGGGCUCGUAGGUGGCCAACUAAGUCAGACGUGAAAUCCCCAGGCUCAACUUGGGAACUGCGUCUGAUACUGGAUGGCUUGAAUUCGGGAGAGGGAUGCAGAAUUCCAGGUGUAGCGGUGAAAUGCGUAGAUAUCUGGAGGAACACCGGUGGCGAAGGCGGCAUCCUGGACCGACACUGACGCUGAGGAGCGAAAGCCAGGGGAGCAAACGGG
RNAcentral lists this ribosomal RNA (253 nucleotides) under uncultured bacterium. Its description in RNAcentral is "partial 16S ribosomal RNA". It matches the Rfam family "Bacterial small subunit ribosomal RNA", at positions 524 to 776 of the family's 1533-position model. The record is from RNAcentral.